Molecule: ribosomal RNA, 276 nt
Filed under: uncultured bacterium
Lineage: Bacteria
Description: partial small subunit ribosomal RNA
Rfam family: Bacterial small subunit ribosomal RNA
Source: RNAcentral
AGAAUCAACGCUGGCGGCGUGCCUCAGACAUGCAAGUCGAACGCGAAAGUUUCCUUCGGGAAGCGAGUAGAGUGGCGUCCGGGUGAGUAACACGUAGGUAAUCUACCUUUGGGUGGGGAAUAACAAUCGGAAACGAUUGCUAAUACCGCAUAAUGCAGCGGCACCGCAUGGUGACAGUUGUUAAAGCGGGGGAUCGCAAGACCUCGCGCCUAAAGAGGAGCCUGUGGCGGAUUAGCUAGUUGGCAGGGUAACGGCCUACCAAGGCAACGAUCCGUA